GGUAGGUCUGCCUUCCUGAUGAGCACAAGAAUGCCAGUCAGUCCCUGAGCUCUGCUCUGUGCAGUCUCCUGGGAUAGGUUCUGGGGACACAAGGAAGAAUCAGACCCGUCACUCCUCUCGAGGAGCUCAAUGCCAAGUGACAGAGAAAGGCUGGAUGGGCAAUUAUAAUAAAGUGUGAUGAGGAUGCCUAAUGGUUCUGCCUGCCCUGGGCACCUGUGCCACACUGGCUCCAACUGCUGUGAGCUCUGAGAUGGCAAGAAUGGCCAGAAAUAGAAGAUGGAGAAAAGUGUAGGGAGUUGAUGUCUUGAGGGAUAUACUCAAGACACUAGUUUGUUGUUAGAAAGACUAAGAAGGCCAGAGAAGGAAUGGAAGACAUAACCAAGGGGAGCUCAGGUUCCACUGCCACCAGGGAACAGCUUCUGAGGUUCUAGAGAAUCUGGGCCCUUCACUCCAACCCAGAACCUGCCGCUCAUCGGUGGGUGAGCCAUCUUCAACAGGAAGCCGGCACUUCUGCUGGGCACCAGGUGACCCCAUCUAACUCCCCUUCCCUUCCACCCACAAUGGCUCUCUCCUCCAUUCCCUCUGCAUAGUCUUCUCCUUCCUGAAAAAAGAGGCAAAGCAGAAAAGGAAGAGGAAUAGAAAACAAACCUGGAACAAAGCUAAAGAGGAGCAAAGAAACCAGAUAGAGGAGAGGGGUGGUAACAUUGCAAGGGACCCUUGGCUCUAAACCAGUGACACAGCUUGGUUUUUCCAAGGGUGCAGCUGGAGCUGGAGUCCUCUGCUUCAGGGUCAAGUCAGGUGAGGGUCUUCCCAAGAGCCUGAUGAAAGGUCCUGGGGAGGGCUAAGGUCACUGCCCUGAGCUCUAGCCCCAGCCCUACAGACCUCCCUUUCAAUGCAGGUGGCGCUCUGAGCCCAGAGUGCCAGCCAGCUUGGAGCGGGGCCAGACUAACAAAGGCUACUUGGGAGUCCUUCCCUCAUCAGGUGCCCGUCCUGCACCAGAAUUCUUGUGAGGCUUCUGGUCCCGCCUGACUCUGAGGAAGCGCAUGGGAGGAUUCAGAGACACAAUAGUUUACUAGCUUGUCUUCUGCUUGAGACGAUUCUGCACUUCAAAUUGCUCCAAUUCAAACUCCUUGUGAUUUUUCUGGGCUGCUGGGAGGAGAGCGUAUUGAUUCUGUUUUUUUUUAUAAGGUCAGCAGUGAUCAGCUCUGACAGCAAGUGGAUAGCCUGUCCCCUUCCCCCUCCACUGGAUGUGGUUCCACAUGCAGAAAAGGAAAGAGAGGGAUAAAGACAGGGAGGAGGAGGCAGCAUCCUUUGUCUUGGUGCUUCUGAAAACCUCUUGAAGCCCCAUCAGCACAAGCAGGCUCCUCUCAGGUUGCAGGCUCGUAGGAGCAGUACGAGCACACUUGAUCUCUUCCGUGUGCCCUUUCACUUGCCUCUCCCUCUGUGCGUUGCUGCCUGCAGCCUACUCUCCUAGAUGGUGACUCACUUUCCUCCAAAGAACCAAUCAAGUUCCAUGUAACAUCGACAGACUCCUGAUGACACUGAUUAACGUUCUGAACCUGUAGGAUUGUUUAGACUGAAAUGACUAGGAGGGCACAGAGAAGGCCCCUCUGAGGUUUCACACAGCUGAUUUUAGCUUGAUGAGAAAAGGGCUUGGAUUGGUCUCACUUUGCUGAGGCCUUGGGAGGGGAGGCUGCCCAGAGCUCCCUCCCCAAGAAAAGUUCUCAGCUCCCCAGGAGUGGCAGGCAUGUUGCCACUCCAACCUUGCCAGCCAAGGGCUGACUCUCCUUGGAGGCCUCCCAUAGAAUGCAAAACACUGUGUCUAUGUGUGUCUGGAUAUUUGUCUAAAAAGAAGAUCCAGAACUUUCAUCAAAUUCUCCAAAAGACCCAUGAUUCAGGAAAGGUUAAGAAUGAUCGUUCUACAGAAUCCUUUCAAAGAUCCUUUAGAAUGUGUCAGGCUCCCGAAGCCACCUUCUAGCUGGCAGUGACAUGGGAGGUGCCCUGAGGUGUCAAGGCCUAAGAGAAAGAGCAAUGCCUUAAGUGGGCCUGGGUGAGUUAGCACAAUGCUACUGCCCUGAUGGUUGGAGGGUCCAGCUGAGAACAAGCUCCACGACCAAUGACUUGAAGGGCCUGCUAACCAGUGGAAAGGAGUAUGAAUACUGUACCCAUGUCACAAGAAGCAAUGGUCCCCUGCACCGAUGUUGCUUGGAUACCAGCUGCAGACCUCUGUUCAGAUCCAAGUGCCAUGGGAUUUGAACCAAACUCAAAUAUAUUCAGAGCCACUCACCAGGAUGGUAAAGGGUCUGAAAUCACAACAUCAAACACAACAGCAAUCACAGCUACUCUGAGAGGGAGCUACUCUGCCAGGCACAAUGCUGGGUGCCUCAGGCACAGGAUCUCAUUCAACACGACAAUCCUAUGACGUGCCUACAGCUCCAUAUUACAAACGGGGAUGUUGGGAUUCAGAGACAGAACACGUUCAUGGUCACAAGAUCAGUACAUGGAGAUGGUUGGGUUUGAGCUGAUGUCUGUGUAACUCCAAAGCCUGUCCUUCAGGAACCAUGCCCUAAAAGGAACCAAGUCGGAACUGGGGAGCAGCUUGAAGAAGAGAACCUGCAGGAACACAAGAACAGACGACGGAGUAAACUAUUGCUGCAAAGGGAAGAACUGCGAAUAAGAAGGGAAGACACUAGAAGGCAGAUUUGGGUUAUAUAGAGCUCUGUUGUUGUUGUUGUUGUUGUUGUUGCUGCUGUUGAUUUCCCCACUAAAGCCUCUACUAAGAGAAGCUUUAGGCCAUUUCUUGAACAGAGAAAACCAUGGUUGCAGACUCCAGAAGGGACCAGAAGUAGACUCAUGAUUCAGAAAGUUCGACCUGACUGGGAAAAACUCAGCGUUAACAGAGUUUUAGUUAAGGUACAGUUGCUGCUGCGACAAACAAACUCAAACAUGUGUGCUGGUUCCGACCUGAUGGAGACUUAUUUCCUACUUGUGUAAAGUGCUAAAUGGAUGUUCCUAAUCGGUAAGCAGGUCUCCUUGGAGUGGAGAUUUAGGGACCCAGGCUGUUUCCAUCUUGUGCUUCCACUACCUUCAACACAUGGCUUCCCAGGUCACCGUGCUCGUCUCCAUCAAGCCAGCAGAAAGGGAAAGAUCACGGAGACUGGAUUUAGGAUGGGUUAUGCCAGGCCUGGAAAUGGUGCCCGUCACUUCAGCUCACCAUCCAUUUACAGGAACUCGGUCACAUGGUUACACCUAACUGCAAGGAGAACGAGAGUCCAGGGACAAUGGAAACACUUCUCUUAGUCAGUGGCAAGCAGAAUCCUGCAGGGUGAGACACUGUGCCCCCAGUAAGAGGAUGAGAAGGCUAGACAAGUGAAAAUGGGUCACCACGAGGUGCUCUGCCAAAGAGCCCAGGUCCUUGCCGUUCCUGUGAAGUUUCAUGAAUGUCUUGCCACACUUGAAAGGAAAAGUGGAACUGGUGUUUAUCAGGUUGCUGCUUUAAAGGUGUUCCUUUCUGAGCCAUCAAGGAGGUUUCAAAGAAGUUUUGAAGAACCCCCGUGCCAUACAUGUCCUCAGAGCUGGGCAGCUGAUGUGGGAUCUAUGUAGAUGCCUGAGCUUGCAAGUGCCAACAUCUAAGAAAUAAAGGAGGGUUUUAUGAGGUUCAGCCCCAGCUUGUGUCAGCUGCAAGGUUGUAAACAAGAAGAACUCUAGCUCCCCCAGUUGUUUCAACGUGAGUUCAGACCUGGGGCAGGAGAUGUUGGCUGGAGGUCAAGAAUCUGUGUCCAAUCCAAUUACUACUGAAACAGCAGGGCCUGACCAGCUGUUGCCCAAAAGAUGUGCUUACAGGUUACCUCCUGAGAUGCUGCUCUGCUCCUUCAGGCUGCCCACGUGAGUCCCUUCCUUCAACGCCUCAAGACACUGUAAGCCCAAAGGGACUUUCCAGGCACCAAACCUGGUAGAGGGAGGCUCACUCUAUCUCUGCCUCUAUUUGGGUUUACUAACCUGAGUAAGUUUGAGACCCUCACACUGAGGCUGUGUUUAGGAAUGCUUCUGCAAG
Long non-coding RNA from Equus caballus (horse), 4054 nucleotides. Lineage: Eukaryota; Metazoa; Chordata; Mammalia; Perissodactyla; Equidae. The record is from Ensembl.